This 517-nucleotide ribosomal RNA is filed under the name Staphylococcus aureus. RNAcentral's name for it is "partial 23S ribosomal RNA". It matches the Rfam family "Bacterial large subunit ribosomal RNA", at positions 326 to 846 of the family's 2925-position model. Lineage: Bacteria; Bacillati; Bacillota; Bacilli; Caryophanales; Staphylococcaceae. The record is from RNAcentral.
ACAUUAGACGAAUCAUCUGGAAAGAUGAAUCAAAGAAGGUAAUAAUCCUGUAGUCGAAAAUGUUGUCUCUCUUGAGUGGAUCCUGAGUACGACGGAGCACGUGAAAUUCCGUCGGAAUCUGGGAGGACCAUCUCCUAAGGCUAAAUACUCUCUAGUGACCGAUAGUGAACCAGUACCGUGAGGGAAAGGUGAAAAGCACCCCGGAAGGGGAGUGAAAUAGAACCUGAAACCGUGUGCUUACAAGUAGUCAGAGCCCGUUAAUGGGUGAUGGCGUGCCUUUUGUAGAAUGAACCGGCGAGUUACGAUUUGAUGCAAGGUUAAGCAGUAAAUGUGGAGCCGUAGCGAAAGCGAGUCUGAAUAGGGCGUUUAGUAUUUGGUCGUAGACCCGAAACCAGGUGAUCUACCCUUGGUCAGGUUGAAGUUCAGGUAACACUGAAUGGAGGACCGAACCGACUUACGUUGAAAAGUGAGCGGAUGAACUGAGGGUAGCGGAGAAAUUCCAAUCGAACCUGGAGAU